RNAcentral lists this ribosomal RNA (1671 nucleotides) under Triticum aestivum (bread wheat). Its description in RNAcentral is "partial small subunit ribosomal RNA". Lineage: Eukaryota; Viridiplantae; Streptophyta; Magnoliopsida; Poales; Poaceae. The record is from RNAcentral.
AUGCCUCCCCCGGCGGGGCUGAUCCCCUGGCCGUCCCCGACCGCCCCGGCACCGCGACUCACUACCACGACCCGGCCGCGCCCCCCGCCUCGCGUUCGCCCUCCUCCUCCGCCCCCUCCCCCUCGCCGCGCCCCGCCGCCACCUCCGCGGCUCAAGCCGGUCGUCGCGCCAAAACCGGCUGCCUCCCUGCCCCCGCCGCCCGUCAUUGUCUCCACCAUGGACCCCGCCUCCACCUGCCUCAACUGCACCCACUUCGGCUCGUGCUCCGGGUGCACUCACGAGUUCGACCUCGACAAGCCGCCGGUGCUGCAGGAGGUGACGGAUUUCUUCAGUGCUCACGGAAUCGAAGACUUCACCUUCAGCAGGGGCAGGCUGUCAGAAUGGCGGUGCCGGGCGAAGCUAGCGGUACGCGGAACACCAGAGAAACCGCUGAUUGGCCUGUAUCAGGAAGGGACACAUAUUGUUCAAGAUAUUCCCGAGUGCAGAGCCCAUCACCCAAGCAUUAACUAUGCUAUUAAGCUUCUGAAGCAAGGUAUAUCCGAGCUCGGUGUGCAGCCUUUUGAUGAAGAUGCUGGUACUGGUGAACUAAGAUACGUGCAGAUGACCGUGACGACAUAUAACACGUCUAUUCCAGUUGCGCAAAGAUACGAGCAAGCGAGAGUUCAAGUUUCAUUGGUUUGGAAUUCAAGAGACGAGCGCUCCAAAAAUUCAGAGAAGUUGAGUUUGUUGCAAGAAUUCUUAUGGACAAAUGGUGGACCAAGAAGUAAUUUGCAUGUGAUUCACUCCAUAUGGGCCAAUUUCCAGACAUCAACCAGCAAUAUAAUUUUUGGGCAUAAAUGGAGACAUAUCGGCGGGGAGGCAGAUCUGUGGGAGCGUUUUGGGGGAGUUGAUAUUUGUCUUGACCCUUAUAGCUUUGGGCAGGCUAAUACUCUGUCUUUUAACUCGUUACUGCAUAAGUUGAUCAAAUAUGUACCACGGGGCUCAACAGUUGUUGAUUUGUACUCUGGUGCCGGUGUUAUUGGGUUAGCCAUCGCGGCUUCUAGGAAAUGCAGGUCUGUGAGAUGUGUUGAGAUCAACAAAAUGUUGAAAUUGUCUUUUGAGAAGUCAGCAAGCCGACUUCCACCAAACCUGGGUUGCACCAUAACUUGGCACAAUACCGAUGCUUCAGCUGAACCCAUUCACUGGCUUGAAGGGUCAAGUGUUGCUAUCGUGGAUCCUCCCAGGAAAGGACUGCACCCUUCUGUUAUCAAUGCUCUACAGAGAGUUGCUUUAUCUGAGCGCAAGGCGUUCAAGGCCAAAAGUUCACUUACAAAGGUGAAAGAUGAGAAGAGACCAUGGAUCCUGCGAGCAAGGGAACCAGCUGUUCAUGUUGAUAGUACAAUCAUGGAAGAAAGUAGUGGAAUAUGGCCAGAGACCCUCAUAUACAUCAGCUGCGGCUGGGACAGUUUUAAAAAGGACUGCAAAAGCUUGAUAUCCAACGAGGCCUGGCAUUUGGAGAAUGCACAUGCUUUUAACUUCUUCCCUGGCACUGAUAGCAUCGAAGUCCUGGCGAUCUUCAGACGGGACUCUGGAAUUGCUCAGAAGAAAACAAAAACAAAAACAAAAACAAAAGCGAAAGCGAAAGCGAAAACAAAAGCGAAAAAGAAGAAAGCCAAGCCAUCGAAAGUCUAG